This is a small nuclear RNA of Peromyscus leucopus (white-footed mouse), 104 nucleotides long. The record is from RefSeq and is a predicted model, not a curated record. Lineage: Eukaryota; Metazoa; Chordata; Mammalia; Rodentia; Cricetidae.
GUGCUUGCUUCGGCAGCACAUACACCAAAACUGUAAUGAUAGAGAGAUUAGCAUGGCCCCUGUGCAAGGAUGACAAGCAAAUUCGUGAAACGUUCCAUAUUUUA